GCACUUUAGCAGCACAUAUACUAAAACUGGAACAGUACAGAGGACAUUAGCAUGGCUGCUGUGCAAGGAUAACACAUAAUUAAUGAAGCAACUCACAGAACAU
Molecule: non-coding RNA, 103 nt
Organism: Cathartes aura (turkey vulture)
Lineage: Eukaryota; Metazoa; Chordata; Aves; Accipitriformes; Cathartidae
Source: Rfam